Epinephelus lanceolatus (giant grouper) is the source of this 678-nucleotide non-coding RNA. The record is from RefSeq and is a predicted model, not a curated record. Lineage: Eukaryota; Metazoa; Chordata; Actinopteri; Perciformes; Serranidae.
AGCUAGCAGAUACACCUGCACUACUGCUCGCCCUGUCGAAAUUAAAUGGUUAACGUUGACAUGCCGGCAGUUUGCUAAAGUAUUUCCGUGACGUACACCGCCAGCAUUCGGUCAGUUACACGCUUCGCUAACGUCUGUAGCAGCGACGCUAGCUCACAACAAGCUGGUGACAUGACUCUUGUUUACAUCCCUGUACAUGCUAGCUAAAAGGUUAGCACACUUCACGUUAGCAUCAAUUUAAAGACGCGGAGCGAGCCCGAAAUAUUCAGCUAAAAUAUGUCUGACAGCUGGGCUUCGUCCGCGUCCCUCUGCUCGUAAAGAAGCGAAGAAGAAGCGAGAGCAGCCGACGCUCCAUGUGUGUUGCCACGGCAACGGAGCGGGAGGACGAGGGAGAGGCGCUGCUGUCAUCCACAUCAGUGCACCGCUGCAGGCACACAGCAGUUCACACGGGCUGUGCAUGGAGUUGGGAUCUCCUGCCAUGCCUGUGACUAGCUGCUUCGUCAUCUCUGUGCCACACCCUGCCAAGGAAAAGGACAACCACCUGACCUUGAUGCUCACAUCAGCCCAACCCUCACUUUUUCCCUCCGCCGCCUAUUACCGUGAGGUACCAUUUAUUCCUGCUCUCUUGAGGCGUCUUGAUAGUGUACAGAUUUUUAUUGCAUUCCAUUGCUUUGCAUG